RNAcentral lists this long non-coding RNA (1111 nucleotides) under Homo sapiens (human). RNAcentral describes it as "non-protein coding lnc-FBXL7-6:1". The record is from RNAcentral. Lineage: Eukaryota; Metazoa; Chordata; Mammalia; Primates; Hominidae.
CAAUGGAAGAAGAGAUGGCGGCACUCAUUGACAAUGGCUCUAGCAUGUGCAAAGCUGGCUUUGCUGGGGGAGCUGUUUUCCCCUCCAUCAUCUGGUGCCCCCGGCACCAGCACGUGAAGGGGGGCAUGAGCCAGAAGGAUUCCUACGUGAAUGACAAAGCCCAGAGCAAGCAUGGCAUCCUGACCCUGAGGUACCCCAUCGAGCAUGGCAUCGUCACUAACUGGGACGACAUGGAGAAGAUCUGGCAUCACACCUUCUACAAGGAGCUGUGCAUGGCCCUGGAGGAGCACAUGUUGCUGCUGACUGAGGCCCCUCUGAACCCCAAGGCCAACAGAGAAGAUGACUCAGAUCAUGUUUGAGACCUUCAACACCCCAGCCAUGUAUGUGGCCAUCCAGGCCAGUGCUGUCCCUCAACACCUCUGGGCACACCACUGGCAUUGUCAUGAACUGUAGAGAUGGGGUCACCCACAUGGUGCUCAUCUACAAGGGCUACAUUGUCCCCCAUGCCAUCCUGCCUCUGGACCUAGCUGGCUGAGACCUGACCCACUACCUCAUGAAGAGCACGGCUACAGCUUCACCACCAAGCACGGCUACAGCUUCACCACCACCGCCAAGGGGGAGAUCAUGCGUGACAUCAAGGAGAAGCUGUGCUACCGCAACCUGGACUUGAAGCAGGAUAUGGCCACCACCGCAUACUCCUCCUCCUUGGAGAAGAGCUACAAGCUGCCUGAUGGCCAGGUCAUCACCAUUGGCACCGAGCAGUUCCAGUGUCUGGAGGUGCUGUUCCAGCCUUCCUUCCUGGGCAGGGAAUCUUGUUGCAUCAGGAGACCACCUUCAACUCCAUCAUGAAGUGUGACAUGGACAUCUGCGAAGACCUGUAUGCCAACACGGUGCUGUCCAGCAGCACCACAAUGUACGUGGGUAUCGCCCACAGUAUGCAGAGGGAGAUUAUCGCCCUGGCAUCCAGCACCAUGAAGAUCAAGAUCAUCACACCCCCAGAGUGCAAGUACUCAGUGUGAAUCAGCAGCUCCAUCCUGGCCUCACUGUCCACCUUCCAGCAGAUGUGGAUUAGCAAGCAGGAGUAUGACAAGUCAGUACCCCCACGCCCCCA